RNAcentral lists this ribosomal RNA (462 nucleotides) under uncultured bacterium. RNAcentral's name for it is "partial 16S ribosomal RNA". It matches the Rfam family "Bacterial small subunit ribosomal RNA", at positions 28 to 507 of the family's 1533-position model. The record is from RNAcentral.
GACGAACGCUGGCGGCGUGCUUAACACAUGCAAGUCGAACGGAAAGGCCCUUCGGGGUACUCGAGUGGCGAACGGGUGAGUCACACGUGGGUGAUCUGCCCUGCACUUUGGGAUAAGCCUGGGAAACUGGGUCUAAUACCGAAUAGGACCACGCGCUUCAUGGUGUGUGGUGGAAAGCUUUUGCGGUGUGGGAUGGGCCCGCGGCCUAUCAGCUUGUUGGUGGGGUAAUGGCCUACCAAGGCGACGACGGGUAGCCGGCCUGAGAGGGUGACCGGCCACACUGGGACUGAGAUACGGCCCAGACUCCUACGGGAGGCAGCAGUGGGGAAUAUUGCACAAUGGGCGCAAGCCUGAUGCAGCGACGCCGCGUGAGGGAUGACGGCCUUCGGGUUGUAAACCUCUUUCACCAGGGACGAAGCGUAAGUGACGGUACCUGGAGAAGAAGCACCGGCCAACUACGUG